AUGAACGCUAGCGGCAGGCUUAACACAUGCAAGUCGAGGGGCAUCGGGAGUAGCAAUACUGCCGGCGACCGGCGCAAGGGUGCGUAACGCGUGAGCAACAUGCCCGUAUCAGGGGGGAUAAUCCAUGGAAACGUGGUCUAAUACCCCAUAGUAAUUAUGUAAGGCAUCUUAUAUAAUUUAAAGCUUUUGGUGGAUACGGAUUGGCUCGCGUGACAUUAGCUAGAUGGUAAGGUAACGGCUUACCAUGGCUACGAUGUCUAGGGGUUCUGAGAGGAAGGUCCCCCACACUGGAACUGAGACACGGUCCAGACUCCUACGGGAGGCAGCAGUGAGGAAUAUUGGACAAUGGAUGGAAAUCUGAUCCAGCCAUGCCGCGUGCAGGAAGAACCGGCCCUAUGGGUUGUAAACUGCUUUUGUAUGGGAGCAAUAAGGGCUACGCGUAGUCCGAUGAGAGUACCAUACGAAUAAGCACCGGCUAACUCCGUGCCAGCAGCAGC
Molecule: ribosomal RNA, 497 nt
Filed under: uncultured bacterium
Lineage: Bacteria
Description: bacterial SSU rRNA
Rfam family: Bacterial small subunit ribosomal RNA
Source: RNAcentral